AGCUCCAAUAGCGUAUACUAACGUUGUUGCAGUUAAAAAGCUCGUAGUUGGAUUUCUGUGUUGGUCAGCCGGCCGGCCUCUAGGGGUUGUAGCUUGGUUUGCCCGACGCAUCUUGUCACAAUAGACACUGGCAUUCACUUGUUGGUGUUCUGGACUGACUCGUUUACUUUGAGAAAAUUAGAGUGUUCAAAGCAGGCUAUCGCCUUGAAUAUGUUAGCAUGGAAUAAUGAUAUAGGACUUUGGUUCUAUUUUGUUGGUUGUUCGAGGACCGAAGUAAUGAUUGAUAGGGACAGUUGGGGGCGUCAGUAUUCUGAAGCGAGAGGUGAAAUUCUUGGACCUUCGGAAGACUAACAACUGCGAAAGCAUUCGCCUAGGAUGUUCUCU
Molecule: ribosomal RNA, 384 nt
Filed under: uncultured eukaryote
Lineage: Eukaryota
Description: SSU rRNA
Rfam family: Eukaryotic small subunit ribosomal RNA
Source: RNAcentral